This 423-nucleotide ribosomal RNA is filed under the name uncultured Lacihabitans sp. Its description in RNAcentral is "bacterial SSU rRNA". It matches the Rfam family "Bacterial small subunit ribosomal RNA", at positions 355 to 774 of the family's 1533-position model. Lineage: Bacteria; Pseudomonadati; Bacteroidota; Cytophagia; Cytophagales; Leadbetterellaceae. The record is from RNAcentral.
UAGGGAAUAUUGGGCAAUGGAGGCAACUCUGACCCAGCCAUGCCGCGUGCAGGAAGACGGUCCUCUGGAUUGUAAACUGCUUUUGAAUGGGAAGAAUGUGUGGCUUGCGAGCUAUAAUGACGGUACCAUUAGAAUAAGCCACGGCUAACUACGUGCCAGCAGCCGCGGUAAUACGUAGGUGGCGAGCGUUAUCCGGAUUUAUUGGGUUUAAAGGGUGCGUAGGCGGCUUUAUAAGUCGGUGGUUAAAAGUAGCAGCUUAACUGUUUUACAUGCCAUCGAUACUGUUUAGCUUGAGAUAUUUGGAGGCAGCUAGAAUUUCCGGUGUAGCGGUGAAAUGCAUAGAUACCGGAAGGAAUACCAAUUGCGAAGGCAGGUUGCUACGAAUAAACUGACGCUGAUGCACGAAAGCGUGGGGAUCAAACA